ACGUAGGGUGCAAGCGUUAAUCUUAAUUACUUUUCUUAAAUCUUUCUCAUUCUUUUAUUUAAGACAGGCGUGAAAUCCCCGAGCUCAACUUGGGAAUUGCGUUUGUGACUGCAUAGCUAGAGUGCGGCAGAGGGGGAUGGAAUUUCGCGUGUAGCAGUGAAAUGCGUAGAUAUGCGGAGGUACCCCGCUGGCUGAGGCAAUCAAGUGGUUUUGUAUUUGUUUUUAUUUUUGAAAGCGUGGGGAGCAAACAG
Molecule: ribosomal RNA, 251 nt
Filed under: uncultured prokaryote
Description: partial 16S rRNA
Rfam family: Bacterial small subunit ribosomal RNA
Source: RNAcentral